Molecule: ribosomal RNA, 262 nt
Filed under: Klebsiella pneumoniae
Lineage: Bacteria; Pseudomonadati; Pseudomonadota; Gammaproteobacteria; Enterobacterales; Enterobacteriaceae
Also listed under: 1 other name
Description: partial 23S ribosomal RNA
Rfam family: Bacterial large subunit ribosomal RNA
Source: RNAcentral
GUACGAGAGGACCGGAGUGGACGCAUCACUGGUGUUCGGGUUGUCAUGCCAAUGGCACUGCCCGGUAGCUAAAUGCGGAAGAGAUAAGUGCUGAAAGCAUCUAAGCACGAAACUUGCCCCGAGAUGAGUUCUCCCUGAGACUAUAAGUCUCCUGAAGGAACGUUGAAGACGACGACGUUGAUAGGCCGGGUGUGUAAGCGCAGCGAUGCGUUGAGCUAACCGGUACUAAUGAACCGUGAGGCUUAACCUUACAACGCCGAAG